RNAcentral lists this ribosomal RNA (784 nucleotides) under uncultured Neisseria sp. RNAcentral's name for it is "bacterial SSU rRNA". It matches the Rfam family "Bacterial small subunit ribosomal RNA", at positions 727 to 1512 of the family's 1533-position model. The record is from RNAcentral. Lineage: Bacteria; Pseudomonadati; Pseudomonadota; Betaproteobacteria; Neisseriales; Neisseriaceae.
UCCUGGGAUAACACUGACGUUCAUGCUCGAAAGCGUGGGUAGCAAACAGGAUUAGAUACCCUGGUAGUCCACGCCCUAAACGAUGUCAAUUAGCUGUUGGGCAACUUGAUUGUUCAGUAGCGUAGCUAACGCGUGAAAUUGACCGCCUGGGGAGUACGGUCGCAAGAUUAAAACUCAAAGGAAUUGACGGGGACCCGCACAAGCGGUGGAUGAUGUGGAUUAAUUCGAUGCAACGCGAAGAACCUUACCUGGUCUUGACAUGUACGGAAUCCUCCAGAGACGGAGGAGUGCCUUCGGGAGCCGUAACACAGGUGCUGCAUGGCUGUCGUCAGCUCGUGUCGUGAGAUGUUGGGUUAAGUCCCGCAACGAGCGCAACCCUUGUCAUUAGUUGCCAUCAUUCAGUUGGGCACUCUAAUGAGACUGCCGGUGACAAGCCGGAGGAAGGUGGGGAUGACGUCAAGUCCUCAUGGCCCUUAUGACCAGGGCUUCACACGUCAUACAAUGGUCGGUACAGAGGGUAGCCAAGCCGCGAGGUGGAGCCAAUCUCACAAAACCGAUCGUAGUCCGGAUUGCACUCUGCAACUCGAGUGCAUGAAGUCGGAAUCGCUAGUAAUCGCAGGUCAGCAUACUGCGGUGAAUACGUUCCCGGGUCUUGUACACACCGCCCGUCACACCAUGGGAGUGGGGGAUACCAGAAGUAGGUAGGAUAACCGCAAGGGGUCCGCUUACCACGGUAUGCUUCAUGACUGGGGUGGAGUCGUAACAAGGUAGCCGUAGGGGAACC